UUAGAACAUGAUUUCGCCUUCAAUGUUUCAUUAUAACUAUGGUGGGAUUCAGGCUAAAACGCAAAAUGUAACAUCUGAGGGCGAAUCAGAUGGUGAUAAUGAUAUCGUCAUUGUGUCAAGCUGAAACAUAGCAGAAUACCUGCCCAAAGCUACAUAGGAUCACUUUGUCUUGAUCGUAUCGGAGUUCAUAUAUAUUCCAUGGAAAUACAC
Molecule: long non-coding RNA, 210 nt
Organism: Brachypodium distachyon (stiff brome)
Lineage: Eukaryota; Viridiplantae; Streptophyta; Magnoliopsida; Poales; Poaceae
Exons: 2
Source: RefSeq, a predicted model, not a curated record